This 497-nucleotide ribosomal RNA is filed under the name uncultured bacterium. RNAcentral's name for it is "partial 16S ribosomal RNA". It matches the Rfam family "Bacterial small subunit ribosomal RNA", at positions 28 to 507 of the family's 1533-position model. The record is from RNAcentral.
GAUGAACGCUGGCGGCGUGCCUAAUACAUGCAAGUCUAGCGAACGGACGAGAAGCUUGCUUCUCUGAUGUUAGCGGCGGACGGGUGAGUAACACGUGGAUAACCUACCUAUAAGACUGGGAUAACUUCGGGAAACCGGAGCUAAUACCGGAUAAUAUUUUGAACCGCAUGGUUCAAAAGUGAAAGACGGUCUUGCUGUCACUUAUAGAUGGAUCCGCGCUGUAUUAGCUAGUUGGUAAGGUAACGGCUUACCAAGGCAACGAUGCAUAGCCGACCUGAGAGGGUGGUUGGGCAAAAGGGAACAGGAGAAAGGGCCAGAAAACUAAGGGAAGGAGGAGGAGGGAAGAUUUCGGAAAGGGGGAAAAGCGUAAGGAAGAAAGGCGGGGGGAGGGAGAAAGGUGUUGGAAUGGAAAAACUUUGUAAUAGGGAAAAAAAAAAGGGGAAAGAAAAGGGGAAAAAGUGAAGGGAACGAAUCAGAAAGCCACGGCUAACUACGUG